UGCUGCUUGUUUUGGUUAAGGGCAUAGGCCCUAGCAUUCUGUGGCUGUCCCCGUUGUCCUCCAGGGCCCUGAUUUUGUCGCUGUUGAUUUCUGGGGUUUUGCUGUUGAGGUGCUCCUCCGUUCUUCUUCGGACAUACUGAAGCAUAGUGCCCAGUUUCCCCACAUCUAUAGCAUAUAUUCAUUCCUUUCAGGCAUUCCCCUGAAUGAGGUCGCUGACACUUUAGGCAGAGUGGUCGUCCCAUUGCUUGCGGCUGUUGAUUCUGACGUUGAUUCUGAUUUUGGUUAGCAGCCCACGGCUUCUUUCCAUUUCCAUUCCCGGUAUGUACUUCUCGUAUAAUUCAGUCUUGAAAUCUUCCCAAGUGAAAUUUUCCCACUGUUCCUCAGUCAUUGUGCGCCUCACAGAUUCCCACCAGAAGUCGGCUUCGUCCACCAGUUGGUAGGUUGCACAAGUUACUUUGUCUUCGUCCUCGCAACGGAUGUAGUUAAAGAUACGCUCUAUGGCCCUAAUCCACUUUUCGGCGUCUGUUGGAUCGCCCAGCCCGUCAAAUGUUGGAGGUUUUUC
This 562-nucleotide long non-coding RNA is filed under the name Salvia miltiorrhiza (redroot sage). RNAcentral's name for it is "long non-coding RNA (SMIL_LNC010959)". The record is from RNAcentral. Lineage: Eukaryota; Viridiplantae; Streptophyta; Magnoliopsida; Lamiales; Lamiaceae.